This 413-nucleotide ribosomal RNA is filed under the name uncultured Gammaproteobacteria bacterium. RNAcentral describes it as "bacterial SSU rRNA". It matches the Rfam family "Bacterial small subunit ribosomal RNA", at positions 370 to 779 of the family's 1533-position model. The record is from RNAcentral. Lineage: Bacteria; Pseudomonadati; Pseudomonadota; Gammaproteobacteria.
AAUGGGCGAAAGCCUGACGGAGCAAUACCGCGUGUAGGAUGAAGGCCCUCGGGUUGUAAACUACUGUCACGCUAUAGGAAUGGCGUAAGGUAAUAGCCUUGCGAUUGACUAAAGCGAGAGGAAGUACCGGCUAACUCCGUGCCAGCAGCCGCGGUAAUACGGAGGGUACAAACGUUGUUCGGAAUUACUGGGCAUAAAGCGCACGUAGGCGGCCUGAUAAGUCAGUUGUGAAAGCCCUCGGCUCAACCGGGGAACUGCAAUUGAUACUGUCAGGCUCGAGGGUGGUUGGGGUGAGUGGAACUUCUGGUGGAGCGGUGAAAUGCGUAGAUAUCAGGAGGAACACCAGUGGCGAAAGCGGCUCACUGGACCACAUCUGACGCUGAGGUGCGAAAGCUAGGGUAGCGAACGGGAUU